GAUUCGGGGACGAAAUGUCCUCGACCUAUUCUCAAACUUUAAAUAGGUAAGAGGGUGCGGCUGCUCCAUUGAGCCGCGCCGUGGAAUCGAGAGCUCCAAGUGGGCCAUUUUUGGUAAGCAGAACUGGCGAUGCGGGAUGAACCGAAAGUCGAGUUACGGUGCCGAAUUGCGCGCUAACCUAGAUCCCACAAAGGGUGUUGGUUGAUUAAGACAGCAGGACGGUGGUCAUGGAAG
Molecule: ribosomal RNA, 234 nt
Filed under: uncultured eukaryote
Lineage: Eukaryota
Description: partial Eukaryotic large subunit ribosomal RNA
Rfam family: Eukaryotic large subunit ribosomal RNA
Source: RNAcentral